ACACGACUACAUUAGAUACCCCUGUAGUCCUAGCCGUAAACGAUACUCGCUAGGUGUCGGCCACGGUGCGACCGUUGUCGGUGCCGUAGGGAAGCCGUGAAGCGAGCCACCUGGGAAGUACGGCCGCAAGGCUGAAACUUAAAGGAAUUGGCGGGGAGCACAACGACGGGUGGAGCUUGCGGUUUAAUUGGAUUCAACGCCGGAAAUCUUACCGGGACCGACAGCAACAUGAAGGCCAAGCUGAAGACUUUGCCGGAUUAGCUG
Molecule: ribosomal RNA, 264 nt
Filed under: uncultured archaeon
Lineage: Archaea
Description: partial 16S ribosomal RNA
Rfam family: Archaeal small subunit ribosomal RNA
Source: RNAcentral